This 2508-nucleotide long non-coding RNA is filed under the name Mytilus galloprovincialis (Mediterranean mussel). Lineage: Eukaryota; Metazoa; Mollusca; Bivalvia; Mytilida; Mytilidae. The record is from RNAcentral.
CAUCUUUAUUGUAUAAAUCAUUAACAAUAAUCUGGUAUAAAUAGGAUUAUUUUAAGACACUUUUUCAGUCAACAGAAUUCCUGAAACUUUACAAUGACCAAAUACAUACAUUUAUAUUUGUUUAUUAACAACUUAAAAGUGUGAGAUUAAGAGUAACUUGAAUUUGAUACAACUAAAAAUGUAUAUGAAAUCACUAAUCACUUCAUCAAGGAAGAUAGCUCAUUCUUUACAACUUUAUCAAUUCAAAAUUAAAAGUAUUAAAACCACUUAUCACUGAAAUGUGAGACGUUUGAAGCCUUUAAUAUACUUUCAUCAGCCCGGUAGACAAUGCUUUGGGAAUGACAUGAUUGAUAGCAUACCUUACAUAAAUUCUCCAGUGAUACAUUUAGAAAUUGGAAGUUUUUUGAUAUUCUAUUCAGGUCCUUUUUGGUAAUAUUCAUCCUCAAGUGUUCAAGUACUAAGCUUUCAAUCUUCUUUUGGUUUUAGCAUUCCUAAUGGAGAUAAAUCCAGAGACUUAGAAAGCAUCAAAUUUUAAAAAGUGGGGGUUUUUUUUUUCAUUUUAAAGCAAAUACACAAGACAAUUUAAAAAUAAAUUUUUUGCUCAACUCACAAAUAUUGAUAUCCACAAAAUAAAAUAAUUUCACAGUAAUCAAUUAUCAUAAUAUUUUAUUUACAAAUUUAAUCAUUUUAAGGACUAGAAUAUUUAAAUUGUUUUAUAGAAGUUCUGAUAAUUACACUAGUAAUAAAUUACAGAAAAAAUAGUAUAAUUAAAGAAUAUUUACUGCAUAGACAAUUAAAAAACUGCAAAGCAUGAACAUAUUCCAAAUAUUAAACUGGUUUGAAUUCCAAAUAAAAUAGUUACAACAAUUAUUUCCCAAGAUUAUGCCACUUAAUAAAUGGACUUAAUCAUCUUUAUUAUGUAUUUAAACAAUAAAAAAAAUCAAAUAUCUUACUCAAAGAUAACAAUAUCCAAGUUGUACUGUAGGGUAAUUAAGUAAAUAUAUAUAUAUACAAAUCGGUCUUACAUUUUAUUGAAGAAUAAAAAAGGUCUAUACAUUUAAAUAAAAUUUCUGAUGAUUUUAUUUUAUUUUGUUUGGGUAACAGUCAUCACAGGAUAAUAACUUCAUGUUAACUGUUUUGUAACUUUAUAUAAUAUCAACUAUGUUCUCCCAAUCUUUCAGACUCUGUACAAACCUAUAUUUCUUUGUGCCCAAAAAAGAUAUUUCAUUCAUAUUCAUGUUGAGACAAAGGUUAUGUUUGCUAAAUAAUGUUUUAGUCUGGUAACCAUAAACACACAUUGUGUUUUUAUUUCCUUAAUUGUUUAAAAGUCUGUAGGUUACCUCAACCUAAUGAUAAUUUAUCACAUGCAGAUUAUUCACUUGACAAAGAGAUAAGUAAAUAAAAAAAGAUGAAAUCUCUGAUUAAUCAAGUUUGGAAUAAAGUUGUUUUUGUUUAAUUCAUAACCAGUUGUUACUUUCUCAGACAUCUAAACUUUCAACUAAACUUUUCCUUUAACAACAUGAAAAUGGAAGGAUAACUGCAUGUAAGCCUUUUUUCUAAACAAAACUGAUAUCUUAAAGGAUUGAUAACAACUUUUAGUUCUAUUAAUAGAGCCAAUAAAAUAUUGUUGUUUUCAUUUUGAGUAUUUGUUAUAAUGAUAAUUGUCUGACAUUUACAUAAGUAAUAGCAUAGCAUAUGAUGAUGAAUAUAGGCUCUAAAAAACCACCUUCGAGUUCAUUGCAUUUUGGUCAAAAUCUAUGAUUUUAGUGAACAUUAUUUGUGCCAUUCAUCGUCACUUCCUUCCCAUGUUGAGAGAGCGGUUAAAAAAUUAUGUUGCUAUAUUGCAAAAAUUAUUCAGCAAUUAAAUUCUUAUAACUGAAAAUUGCUGUCAACAGGGAAAUGUGAUUAGUAUAUAACAUACAAAUAUUAUUUCUAGUUUAUCCUGCAUAAUGACGAUCACAAAGACUCAUGAUAAUAGUGCAGGGAUACAAGAGUCCUCUCUAUCUGGUAAAUGAUAGUCAUAAGGGCACACAUUAUUGACAAACUUUUCCUGUGAAGGACAUAACUCGAAAGUGGUCUAUAAUAAAAACACAAAUGUAACAAUAAUGCCCUGUCCCAGAAUAAAUGUAACAAAAACUACAAUAGCUAUUACAAUUCCUGAUCAGUGAAACAACUAUCAAAGAUCAACACAUUUAUCAAAAUAUCACACUUUUACACUAAACUUUAACUCCAAAAAAUGUAACUGUAGAACUAGUUAUAAUUAUAACAUGAAGUUAUCAGGGUUAUAAAGGUAUGGAUUAUAUUAUAUAUUACAUAUAUACAACUAAUAUACAACUAUUGUAAUUGCAAUUAAAAACAUUGUAAAAAUGAAAAUUUAAUCUACAACCAGGUGCUCCGCAGGGCGCAGCUUUAUACGACCGCAGAGGUCGAACCCUGAACAGUUGGGGCAAGUAUGGACAAAACAUUCAAGCAUGAUACAGCUCUGAAUUUGGAUUGUGAUCAAAUUUU